CGCGGGGUGGAGCAGUUUGGUAGCUCGUCGGGCUCAUAACCCGAAGGUCGUUGGUUCAAAUCCAGCCCCCGCUA
This is a transfer RNA of Desulfotalea psychrophila LSv54, 74 nucleotides long. It matches the Rfam family "tRNA". From Rfam's summary of the family: Transfer RNA (tRNA) molecules are approximately 80 nucleotides in length. The record is from Rfam. Lineage: Bacteria; Pseudomonadati; Thermodesulfobacteriota; Desulfobulbia; Desulfobulbales; Desulfocapsaceae.